Molecule: ribosomal RNA, 138 nt
Organism: Phytophthora infestans T30-4
Lineage: Eukaryota; Oomycota; Peronosporomycetes; Peronosporales; Peronosporaceae
Source: RefSeq, a predicted model, not a curated record
UUUUGUGAAGGUGCCUUUCUGUCAUUAAGGUGGCGGGUUCGUGGGCUUGCAUCGUUUACUGUAAAAAAAUAGAGUGUUUAAAGCAGGUGUUUGCUCAUUUGAAUACAUUAGCAUGGAAUAAUAAGAUACGGUCUUGGU